RNAcentral lists this ribosomal RNA (253 nucleotides) under uncultured bacterium. Its description in RNAcentral is "partial 16S ribosomal RNA". It matches the Rfam family "Bacterial small subunit ribosomal RNA", at positions 524 to 776 of the family's 1533-position model. The record is from RNAcentral.
UACGUAGGUGGCAAGCGUUAUCCGGAAUUACUGGGCGUAAAGAGCGCGCAGGCGGUCGUUCAAGUCGAGUGUGAAAGCCCCCGGCUCAACUGGGGAGGGUCACUCGAUACUGAUCGACUCGAAGGCAGGAGAGGGAAGUGGAAUUCCCGGUGUAGUGGUGAAAUGCGUAGAUAUCGGGAGGAACACCAGUGGCGAAGGCGACUUCCUGGCCUGUUCUUGACGCUGAGGCGCGAAAGCUAGGGGAGCAAACAGG